Molecule: long non-coding RNA, 1225 nt
Filed under: Strigops habroptila (Kakapo)
Lineage: Eukaryota; Metazoa; Chordata; Aves; Psittaciformes; Psittacidae
Description: lncRNA (ENSSHBG00005007491.1)
Source: RNAcentral
UUUGCUUAGACAACUUUUCAAAAUAGUAUUUUAUUUUUUUGAGUCAGUGGUAUAUUUAAAAACGAUCUAACAUAAGAGUAAAAAGAUUGUAGAUAGUAAAAAACAAAGGUGUGAUGACAAUAAAAAACGCUAGAGUAUAAAGUUAGUUUCUUUCCUCCCUCCCAACACCCCAUCCCAUCAUUGUCCAAUAUUUCUCAGAGCUUAAUAUCUGGAAAAAAAAAAAGCCUUUUUUUUUUUACACUUUCAGCCAUUAGAAAAUUAAAAAUAGAUGAGGCCUUCUUUGCAGGUACAUUAAUUCAUUAUUACAUGAAAAGCAGGCACCAUAAAAAUUAAAACAUUCUAAAAAUCAUCAUAUAUACAAACACUAUACAGAAUGAUGGCACAAGGACAAAGCAAUUCCAUUCAGUUCAUCCUAAUCCACAUGAAAUAUUACACAUUAAAGAAGAAAAGAGAAAGCUCUUCCCAUUCCUGUACUCACCUGCUAGGUUUGGAAUGACCAGGAGUCUCCUAUCUGCCUACUCUGGUUCUUUCCUAUGUGUCCAUCAGGAGCUAAAAGGCUUCCUUGCUCUACCCAUUGACCAACACCCAGGGGAAGGGCCAACUGAAUGAGAAUGGAAAUGACUAAUCACCAACGACUGAUUUUACAAAGCCCAUUGGCAAUCAGUUUAUUUGUGACUAAAGAGAAGGCACGUGCCUGACUUUUAGCCCUGGGCACAACUGUUAUUUGGGGAUAUCCCACGGCAGCUUCUUACUGGGAAGCCCACUCCAGCGUGCACUGAAUUCAAUGUGAAUAUCAUCAUCGAUUCCUAUAUACACUGAGAUUAGGUGCAAAAUACUCAGCUCAUUUUAAACUCCACAGCUACCUAAACGCUUUAGAGACAAAAUACUCAGCUUGCAUUUUAAUCCCCACAGCUGCCUAUGUGCCAGAAGUUAUUCAGAAGGGAGUAGGUUUAGGAAGAGGGGACUGUCAGUUGAUAAAAGCCUCCCAGUCUCAAGUAGACAACCAGAUUUCUUUCAAGUUAUGGGAGGGAAUAACCCCCAGAAAGAGGGGAGAUGUAGUGUUGUUUCCGACACGAAUGGGUUUCUUACAGAGUUAGAGUCAUUGCACUAAGUGUUAGAUACUGCACGCCUGAAUGAGGUAAACGUUAUAUACCAUAAAAUACUUAGGGAAAUGAAUUGUUACAGCUUUAUCUUUGGAAAUAAAACCACCCGCUUCCUUCUUCAC